This 465-nucleotide ribosomal RNA is filed under the name uncultured bacterium. Its description in RNAcentral is "partial 16S ribosomal RNA". It matches the Rfam family "Bacterial small subunit ribosomal RNA", at positions 28 to 506 of the family's 1533-position model. The record is from RNAcentral.
GACGAACGCUGGCGGCGUGCUUAACACAUGCAAGUCGAACGGAAAGGCCCUGCUUGCCGGGUACUCGAGUGGCGAACGGGUGAGUAACACGUGGGUGAUCUGCCCUGCACUUCGGGAUAAGCUUGGGAAACUGGGUCUAAUACCGGAUAGGAGCCAUCUUUAGUGUGGUGGUUGGAAAGUUUUUUCGGUGUAGGAUGAGCUCGCGGCCUAUCAGCUUGUUGGUGGGGUAAUGGCCUACCAAGGCGGCGACGGGUAGCCGGCCUGAGAGGGUGUACGGCCACAGUGGGACUGAGAUACGGCCCAGACUCCUACGGGAGGCAGCAGUGGGGAAUAUUGCACAAUGGGCGCAAGCCUGAUGCAGCGACGCCGCGGGGGGGAUGAAGGCCUUCGGGUUGUAAACUCCGUUCGCUAGGGACGAAGCUUUUUUGUGAAGGUACCUAGAUAAGAAGCACCGGCUAACUACGU